RNAcentral lists this ribosomal RNA (497 nucleotides) under uncultured bacterium. Its description in RNAcentral is "partial 16S ribosomal RNA". It matches the Rfam family "Bacterial small subunit ribosomal RNA", at positions 28 to 507 of the family's 1533-position model. The record is from RNAcentral.
GAUGAACGCUGGCGGCGUGCCUAAUACAUGCAAGUCGAGCGAACAGACGAGGAGCUUGCUCCUCUGACGUUAGCGGCGGACGGGUGAGUAACACGUGGAUAACCUACCUAUAAGACUGGGAUAACUUCGGGAAACCGGAGCUAAUACCGGAUAAUAUAUUGAACCGCAUGGUUCAAUAGUGAAAGACGGUUUUGCUGUCACUUAUAGAUGGAUCCGCGCCGCAUUAGCUAGUUGGUAAGGUAACGGCUUACCAAGGCAACGAUGCGUAGCCGACCUGAGAGGGUGAUCGGCCACACUGGAACUGAGACACGGUCCAGACUCCUACGGGAGGCAGCAGUAGGGAAUCUUCCGCAAUGGGCGAAAGCUUGACGGAGCAACGCCGCGUGAGUGAUGAAGGUCUUCAGAUCGUAAAACUCUGUUAUUAGGGAAGAACAAAUGUGUAAGUAACUAUGCACGUCUUGACGGUACCUAAUCAGAAAGCCACGGCUAACUACGUG